AGCCAGGCUGGACAUGGGACAGGUCCUCGAAGCCGGGGCUCAGGGAGGGCGAGACGGUGUCGGGGCUGGUGUCACAUGAGCCCGUGCUCUGUUCUGAGGUGGCAAUGGUGGUCGUGGUGCUGGGUGGGAUGGGGUCUUCAUCCUCUUCCUCCAGGAAGGAUGCCUCUGGGAUAUGGCUGAAGGCCUCUGGGUGCUGCCUGGCCAGUUUCCCUUUCAGCGUCCUGAUACGGCGGAAGAUGCUGUCCAGGUCCCGUUUCAUCUCUACUAGGGUCCUCGUGUGGUGCAGGAAGCGUUCGCUCAUCUGCUGCAGGCGGGCACUGGACAGGUUGUUGAAGUUGAGCAGCAUCUCAUUGGUCUUCUCAAAGCGGUCCAGCAUGUUCUUCUGGGCCAGGAUGAUGGCGUUGACAUCAUCUGUGUUCACCAUGCUCAGGAUGCGGCCGCAGAAGACCCUCGAGGCCGAGUCCGGGAGGUCCAUCUCUUUCUCCUCCUCCGCUGCCUGAAACAGGCAAGAACAGAGUGGUCUGCACUAGUCACCAGGUGAGGUGGGACCAAGAGGCCAGGCCGGGACCGCCAUGUGCUGGAACCUAACCCAACCGUGGUGGUAUCCUACAGUGGGGAUGUGUGACUGUGGCUCAGUCAUGCCACCUGAACCUCAGGUGUGCCACCCCAGGAAUUUGGAGGUAUUGGGCAAACUAAGAGAGGUUGUAUUUGUAAACUGUACCCAAGCACAUUAGAAUCCCAUCACCUCCCACUUCCAUGAGCCCAAGGCCACAGGUACCUCUCACCUGCACAGAUCUGCCAGCUUCCUCCCUCAUCCCCUGCCUAACAACUGCUGUCCUCACAAGCUGAACGUGUGUGGCUGCUUCAGCAAAUCAUCACCACCUCCAAUGUCUCCUCUCCCAAGAGGUCAAUGACUCCUGUUCCCGUCACUCUUACCGCUUCUCUUACUACUUGACCUCGUUUUUUUAUUUCUUUUUGAUACAGAGUUUCACUCCUGUCACCCAGGCUGGAGAGAGACUCCGUCUCAAAAAAAAAAAAGAAGGAGUAGAGGUGUGUCUGUCACCAGAACCCGACCCGGAGUCUGGCUCAUAGCAAGGGGCUGCCAGAAUGUUGUUGUGGGGAAGGGCAACAGAACUUUUCAAACUCAGCUCUGACGUGACACUUUUAUUAGCAAAUUAAAGCCAAGAAUUGCAGGUACUCACAGCCAACCUGUGGGCCCCAGCAAUCCAGAUGGUUCUGAGGUUCCCAGUUUUGCUGGCACACAGAUGACCGUAAUGGCAGGCAGGGACUUCCCGGAGCAGCCAGGGUAGGAGGGGCUACAGCACUGACCCUCCUAGGGAGUUCAGGAAAAAUCUAGGAUCUUGAUAUAGUUUGGCUCUGAGGCCCACACAUUUAAUAGCCAAGAAACAGAGACGAACUUCUACUGGAUCAGAAAGGGUUUCAGAGGCCGGGUGUGGUGGCUCACGUCUGUAAUCCUAGCACUUUGGGAGGCCGAGGUGGGCAGACUGCUUGAGGUCAGGAGUUCAAAACCAGCCUGGCCAACAUAGUGAAACUCAGUCUCUACUAAAAAUACAAAAAAAAUUAGCCGGGCAUGGUGGCGGGCACCUGUAGUCGCAGCUACUUGGAUGGCUGAGGCAGGAGAAUGGCUUGAACCUGGGAGGCAGAGGUUGCAAUGAGCCGAGAUCAUGCCACUACACUCCAGCCCGGGCGACAGAGUGAGACUCCAUCUCGAAAAGAAGGAAGGAAGGGAGGGAGGGAGGGAAGGAAGGAAGGGAGAGAGAGAAAGAGAGAGAGAAGGAGAGAAAGAGAGAGAGACAAAGAGAGAAAGAGAGAGGAGAGAAAGAGAGAGAGACAGAGAAAGAGAGAAAGAAAGGAAAGAGAAAGAAAGGGUUUCAGAGCUCACUUAAUGUACUCUCCCAUUUAUUCAGCAGCUACUCUAUGCUAAACAAAGCAUCAAGCUCAUACAUACUGUUAUCAUUCUUAUUUAUAGAUGAGAAAACUGAGGCUCAGGGACACUGAGAAACUGGGCCACUGUCACACAGCCAGUGAACCUAAGUCACAACAAACGGCCACAGCCCACGGGUCUCACAAAGGUGUGAAUCUGAACAGGUGCACAAUAUCCAGCUGUGACAGGACAGUGGCUUCUUACAGCAGCUGAUUUCUGCCUGACUUCUGAUGUUUCUCCAGGAAAAAGGAAACAGGGAUUUUUUUUUUCUGGGAAAUUGCCUCAUUGACAAAUGUCAGCAAUCAAUACUUUUUUCCAAGAUAUCAUGGAGGCCAAGAGCAUCUAUUUGUGAUCUGUAUCUGGUCAGUGGUUUGCAGCACCUUCUAGAAAUAAGGUGCCACACCCAGCAAAACCCCCUUCCCUCUAAUAAUAACUAUGGUUAUUGAACUCCUAUGACAUGCCAUGCAGAGACACCCAGUCUCCACAUUCCCAAAGAAGCAUGAUCUUGUAUAAAGAGGAUACCUGGACCGGGUGCUCAUGCCUGUAAUCUCAGCACUUUGGGAAGCCAAGGCUGGUGGAUCACCUGAGGUCAUGAGUUCAAGACUAGCCUGGUGAACAUGGUGAAACCCCCGUCUCUACUAAAAAUACAAAAAUUAGCCAGGCAUGAUGGCGGGCACCUGUAGUCCCAGCUACUCAGGAGGCUGAGGCAGGAGAAUCGCUUGAACCCGGGAGGCAGAGGUUGC
This 2688-nucleotide long non-coding RNA is filed under the name Homo sapiens (human). Its description in RNAcentral is "non-protein coding lnc-CRLF1-4:2". Lineage: Eukaryota; Metazoa; Chordata; Mammalia; Primates; Hominidae. The record is from RNAcentral.